RNAcentral lists this small nucleolar RNA (119 nucleotides) under Nomascus leucogenys (northern white-cheeked gibbon). RNAcentral describes it as "Small nucleolar RNA U13". It matches the Rfam family "Small nucleolar RNA U13". The record is from Rfam by way of RNAcentral. Lineage: Eukaryota; Metazoa; Chordata; Mammalia; Primates; Hylobatidae.
AUCAUUUUGUAGUUCAUGAACGUGAUGGUUGGGUGUUCACACACGUAUGUGAGAUGUGCUACCCUCGAACCUUGUUAAAAGAAAAAAAAAGCUAAUAUUGUAUUAUUAUAUGUGUGACU